UUUUUUGACUGUCUUAUGUGUAUAUUUUCUGGAAUUGGCUCCCAGUGAUGAGUUCAAAAUCAUUUUUACUAAUCAUUGUUGUUUGAAUGAAAUAUCAAUGCCUUCUUUUCCUAGUGCAAGUUAAUUGAUUCUUAGUUUUCUGAAUGUUGAUGCCUUACGUACAAACGGUAAAUCCCUGGAGCAUUCUGGGCUAUUUUUGCUUUCAGUAUUCUUUUUUCAUGUUCCUUUAAGACACAGGGAUAGAUAAUUUUUAACGUUAACAAGUGUUAAAAAUGUUUUUAAAAAUAUGUUAACAUAAUGCUUUCUUCAAAGUGGUCAUAGCCAUUUUAUAACAACACUGGCCUACUGAUGGCCAUUAAUAGCACUAGCCACUGAUGGUCACUGGAAGCGUGCCAUUCCUGCGUCAUUCUGAUUUGGAUUUUCAUCCCUUGCUCUUGCAGUCACAUUUCUUGUACUUUUCCUGCCUGUGAUUCAGUUUGUUUGUUUUGAUGAUGUUAAACUCAACUUCAAAAUGAAGUUAAAAUGAGCAUACCGAAAUAUCUUGUUUAGUUUCAGUUUCUCUGCUUCUUGCGGCCUCGUAUAGGAGCCAUUCUUCCAAGGCAGCCAUCUUGUCCAUAUGAACAUUUCAUCAAUCUUCAAGCAGUUUCCAUUAUCCAUGGAUAAUUAUGACACCUGUACCACGAAACUCCUAAGCCCCCCAUUGCCUAGUAAUUCACAGGGUUUUUUUCUAUGUAACACAUUUGCUAAGACAUUCUUAUAAUAUGAAAAGGCUACUGGGUACACAAAUUCUGGGGCUGCUCCACUUCAAAGCCCAGUUCAGUUUCCUGGAAGAGGUUAGCAUAGUAUAUGUUGGAUCAGGCUUGCCAGCAUUAGUCCCAGUUUUUCUUCUGAACCUCUGGGAAGAGAACAGGCAAUUUCUUUUACAGCCUAACACAGCAAGACUCAAAGAGGAAAAAAGGUGCGAAAUGCAGUAGUCUUUAAGAUACUGGCCACAAGAUAAUCACUGAACAACUAUAUACAUCUAUGAAGUAAUAGGCUCUCAGGGACAGUCGAGUAAACUGCACUCAUACCUUCUUGUGGAAUAGGUUAGUAUAAGCUAACUCUGCAGAUCUUUUUCCAUCUCACUUAGAUGUAAUAAAAGAAAUAUAAGAUCUUGGCAUAUACACAGUCAUGCUAUAUAUUGAAAUGUGGAAAAAUAAUACAGCAGUGGCAAAAACAUAAUCCAAAUCCAUACAGUGUUUAGUAGAAUGCAGUACUCCCCUAUUACUACGUCUUCUAUGUGGACUUAAGCUUGUGGUUUUUAAAUUGGCAUCUCAGUUCCGUUUGGCUUGAUUGCUUUCUCCAUUAAUCAGAUUCUUCUCUUGUUGUUCAGCUAAGGACUGCCAUUUCUGCCUGUUUUUUCUACAGCCAUCCAGUAAAGGGUAGCAGGCCUCUGAUACAUGUGUUAGGGCCUCAUACAGCUGCAAGCAAACAGCAUCAAUGAAUCCAACCUGCAUGCUUGGAAUUUUGUUUUUCUUCUCUCUGUUCAUUAGAUCUGUUGGUUCUAUGUUGAGUUCCUUCCGCUCUUUAUCUCCCUGAUCAAAGAACUCAGUAGCUACAAGCUCAGCAAUCUGUAAGAGAUUUCACAUAUUGAGAGCUAUAAAAGUUUGCUUGCUACCUAUGAUCAAAACUGUUUUCUGAAUUUCCUGUGCCUUCUUAGGAUAUACCAGAUUGGGAUCAACCUCCAUAAGAAUCUCCCAUUUAACAGCUAGCUUUUAGAUGUAUUGAUACACACAUCUGUUCACAAAAGAGACACCUGCAUGUGCUGAUAUUUACUCUGACAAAGUAAGGCACAAUGGCACAAAAGUGCCUUACCAUUGAUAACAGCUAGAAUGAUCAACACAUAGAGAAAGGUCAGCUGAUACUAGAUAGUGUGCUGUAUGGACUGGCCACCUUGUAGUAACACAGAAAUGCUGGAAAAUAAAACAGAGAUUCCUGAUUUACUUUCAGAUAACCAGUAACAGGUAACAGAUACUUUCAGAUAAAGUAACAGGUUACUUUCAGUAACUAGUAACAGCUAAAGGCAUAGAUUUUGCUGCCAAGACCUGAGAAUGUCUUCAAUCCACAUUUAGCAUUUUGAAGGACUGCUUGCUAAGGUUCUACGUUCCACCCUUGCCUUUGCAAUACAGGUUGGAUAGAGAAAGCAGAAGCAGUUAUGCAGAGUUCAUAUUUAAGAAACCUUAAAAUUAAGGAUAUACCCGUUGCUGAACUGGCCACGGUUUGGUUAUAGCUGAUAAAUCACAAGCAGUCAUCAGCAUUGCUCUAUAGAGAAAAAAAAAAAAAAAAAAGAAAUCUAUGAAUUAUUAUACUGUGAAAUAACAGUCAACCAAGCCAAGCGAUUAGUAAAUAGAACAUCCAAUUUCAAGGAAAAUCAAAGUCAGUAAAACAAGUGAAAUUAAACCAAAGUUAUAAAGACAUCCAACGCUUGAUGAUGUGGUAGAAUUUCACCUGCAUGAAAUGAGCACACAGAAAUGAGCAAAUCUGGACCAACUCAUUUGUUGGAUUUUCAUAAAAUGAACUGCUUCAUUCUAUUUGCUACUGGACAGGUAGCACACUUAUUUCUGGCAACCAAAAUGGCCAACAGUACCCUGGGGUACAUCAGGCCCAGCUGGGUGAGGGAAGGGAUUGUCCCACUCUGCUCUGUGCAGCCUUACCUCAAGCACUAUCUGCAGAUCUGGGUGCCACAAUAUAAGAAGGACCUGAAGCUAUUAGAGUGAAUACAAAGGAGGGCUAUGAAGAUGAGGAAGAGUCUAGAGGGGAUGGUGUGUGAAGAGCAGCUGAGGUCACAGUGUUUCUUCAGCCCAGAAGAGGCUGAGGGGUGGCCCCAUGGUAGCCUUCAGCUUCUCAUGAAGGUAGCAGAGAGGUAGGCACCGAUCUCUCCUCUCUGGUGACAGUGACAGGACCAGAACGAACAGCAUGGAUCUCUAUCAGGGGAGGGUCAGGUUGAGUGUUAGAAAAAGGCUCUUCAGAGGGUGGUGAGCAUGGAACAGGCUCCCCAGCGCAGUGGACAUGGCCCCAGUCUCCCAGAGUUCAAGAAGUUUUUGUACAGUGCUCUCAG
RNAcentral lists this long non-coding RNA (3097 nucleotides) under Gallus gallus (chicken). Lineage: Eukaryota; Metazoa; Chordata; Aves; Galliformes; Phasianidae. The record is from RNAcentral.